RNAcentral lists this ribosomal RNA (448 nucleotides) under uncultured bacterium. Its description in RNAcentral is "bacterial SSU rRNA". It matches the Rfam family "Bacterial small subunit ribosomal RNA", at positions 328 to 793 of the family's 1533-position model. The record is from RNAcentral.
UUGCCAGACUCCUACGGGAGGCAGCAGUGGGGAAUAUUGCACAAUGGGGGAAACCCUGAUGCAGCGACGCCGCGUGAGCGAUGAAGUCUUUCGGUAUGUAAAGCUCUAUCAGCAGGGAAGAAGAUGACGGUACCUGACUAAGAAGCCCCGGCUAACUACGUGCCAGCAGCCGCGGUAAUACGUAGGGGGCAAGCGUUAUCCGGAUUUACUGGGUGUAAAGGGAGCGUAGACGGCGAUGCAAGCCAGAUGUGAAAGCCCGGGGCUCAACCCCGGGACUGCAUUUGGAACUGUGUGGCUGGAGUGUCGGAGAGGCAGGCGGAAUUCCUAGUGUAGCGGUGAAAUGCGUAGAUAUUAGGAGGAACACCAGUGGCGAAGGCGGCCUACUGGACGGUGACUGACGCUGAGGCUCGAAAGCGUGGGGAGCAAACAGGAUUAGAUACCCUCGUAA